UAUAGUCAGGCAUAGCCCUGUCAGAAGUAGUACCAAAAAUGUUAUUUUUCAAAAAAGGCAAGCUGUUAACCAAUGUCUAUCCUCCUUGCCAACAUAUUAAGGUUCUAAAAGUGAAAAGCAAAGUCAUUUGCAGAAUGGCAAGCACAUGCCAUCAGGCAGGGUGGAAACUCAGCCAUUUUGCCAUGUCAGUGGUGGUAUCAUCUGAAAAAGGCUGCCAUGUGGAGUGCUCUUCACCGUCUGGCACUCUGUAUAGCUGUACACAGCAUAACAACGCCCUUGUAAUAUCUUUUGUAUACAGCUUAAAAAGGAGGAGCCAAGGGGGACAACUUACAUGAAAGGGGACCUUCUGCUUUGUAGCAGGUACAGGCGCAGAUCACCAGCCCUCAGGCAGGCACUGCCUGCAGCAGCUCUCCCAGCCCCAGCUUGCUCUCUCUCAUGCACCCAGACACAGCUUUGAAGGUAAUGUAGGCUGCUUCCUCCCCCUCUGGGACCAGGCUAUGAAGCUCUCACACCAGAUUCCUCGCCUUCAAUAUCAAAAGGGCCACAUGGCCUGGAAGCAAACAGCCCCUGGCCUCAACUGAAGGCACCCAUGCUGACACAGCAGCCUACAAAGUAAGGACAUGAUCUUCAGAAAGGUCAGAUCCCUUCCUAGAUGUCACUUUUUAACAUUUACAUCUCUCAGGAGGACUACCAGGACAAAGCAAGCAGAGAGCAGCAGCUGUGUGUGCAUGAGUAUCUACAAGGGCACUGCUGGAGCAGACAGGUGUGAGCGAGGAGCAUGCACACCCUGCCCUGGAGCGUGCCAAUCUCCACUUGUGCAGCUCUCCUUCCUCUCUUAAGUACACUAAGCAGUGGUGGAAGUCCUCCAGGCUAGUGAGUCAGGAACCACUCAGUCAAGUGUGACACAGCUCCAGCCCUCUGCUCUCCCUUUCUCCCUCCCCCCAGCUUGCUCACACUGACAAGCACAGAACAGGGCAGGGAACACUCGUGGUUUCAUUCUUCUGUUUCUCUGACCUCAGUGUUAAGGUAAGAAAAAGCUCCUCCUGUGAAACACCGAGUUCCCACCUGUUCAGCUUCACGAGAAGGAAGCAAUAAGAAAGCAGGUAUUUGCCUCAGGAGUUUACUGCUACAGUGGCUGUCAAGAUAGCAUGACACAUUAAGUCUUCAGAUUAAAAACCCCAGAUACUCAAAACCACAGCAUUGGUUUGACAAAACAAAUCUGGAGAGCAACUGCAGGCAUAAUUAUGUCACCCCUCACCAGGGAAGCGGCAAAAGACAGCUAGGGAGCAAGCCCCUAAGCUUAGCUGUGGUCAGAAUAGCUUCUCUGCCUAGGACUUCAGGCAGCAAGUGAUUUACACUGAUGCCUACUUAUGGUCUUAUUAAGACAGUGUAAGGGUUUCUUACGCUACAUUGUCAGAAAUUUACAAAAUACCUGUACUUAGGAAAUGAGAACCAAUCCCUGGUAAGAUAGUACCCACUCUGUACAGCAGGGAGAGACAGAGGCUUUUAAACUCAGGUCAGUAAUAGAAUUUCAAGUUAGGGGCUAUUUAUCAUUGGUAUAAAAGCUUCCCUUAUACCACAUUUACCCCACUGUGCUCUCGUUAAAGAGGUGAUUUCAUGUUACGGUGAGAAGCAGGAGGAAGUAGAGAAGGGUGCCCCUUUCGUCACCACGUGGUCUGGCCUGGCUUUGCUCAAUCACAGUCCUAAAACACAUUGAACUAUGAAAUACUCUUUUCUCAGCCUGCCCUCACUGCAUGACCAAGUCUGCUUUCCUGCAUUUAAGUUGCUUCUACCUUGUCUUCCUCACAUUGACCGUCUCACCUUCUCAGGAUGGUUUCAUGUCUGCCAGUCUGAGUGACACUGAGGGCCACUAAUAGAAAACUGCACAUAUGCAUGGGUAAGAGCAGGGAAUACAAGGCAUCAUCCUGGAAGUCUGGUCCUUCACAUAAGGUGAUCUGUUCUUUCCAAGUCAGACAAUUCAAAAGUCAUGUGUCCUCAUCAUAUAUAUUUUGCAGAAAGCCUGGCACAGGAAUGCAUAGAAACAAAAUGCAUGCAACAUCUGCACAGGAAUUGAGGACACAUCUUAACUUGCAAGGCACUUUUCAUACCACAAUAGUGGUAAAUUAAUCUUUCCACCCAGAACUUUUAAACAGCAACCAUUCCCUCCAUUUUAAUGUGAUUUUUUACAGGAGCAUUUUAGGAGAAACUUUAGCACCCGGAAAUGAUGGGUUAUAACUUUAUAUGUCAGCACAUUUGCCAUUCUAGGCCCUUGCUGUGGCUUAGAAGCAGUAUUUCCACCCUAGGAUAUUUAUUAAGCACCCAGUUUUGAAGUGGAGAAUCUGGCUUAAGUUCACAUUGUGGGAAAAUAAUACUGUAAAUGGUCAGGAAUUUGGGAAGGAUCCGAGCAGAGAGACAGCAGUACAGUCUUUCAAGGCUACAAAAUUUUCAACAACAUGAGGCAUGACACAGCAAUACUUGCAGAUGCUUGGAAAGGACCUUUUUAAGUAAGCCUUCAGUCACACUGUUAAGGUUCCAGCAAAGUCAAAGUCUGACAAGGCAUCCCGGAAAAGUUUUGUACAGCUGCCUUUACCUAUGCAGUCACUGUCUACUUCUAGCAGGGUGGGUAUUUUCUCGCUACAUAAUGUUCUUGUGCUGUUUCAACUUAAUUGCAAGCGAGCAGCAGAGCUUCACAUUGCUUUUUCUGCAGGACACUUUUUUACACUCUUAAUGGGUACGCUGAUUUUCCUGGAGAAGGUACAUCCAGGGGUUUUUUUUCCAUAUGCAGCCAAAUUCUCACCAUGUUUUUUCAUUUCCCUACUCCAGCGCUCUUGCAUCAUGGAAUAACUACUCUUCCUUCUCAGCGUUUAAACGCGUGCAGGCUGCAGUGCCUUGGCUGCCAGACAGUCUGCAUUUACAGCACAGUAAUCCUCAAACACAUGAAUAAUUCUACAUCAGUCUGAUAAUUAUCAUCAAUGCCUGUAAUGACUUGUUGAGCAAAAAUUCGGGCUUCCAUCUUGCAUACUGACUUGGUAAGGGGCAAUUUUAUGUGUUUAACGCUAUAAUUACUGAACUUAGUUUCAAUCAGUUCCUCAGGUAGGGUGUGAUCUGGUAUACCUUUUUUUUCCAGGUCUUUCCAAAGUACCUGUAGGCAAUGAGGCAAUGAGAAGUUCACAUACCAGUAUGUUCAGCGCACAAUCCCUCCUAUACUGUCCUGUAUGCGCAAGAGAUCUCAAAAGGAAACCCACUUGCUUCUUCUGACGAGACAAAGCUGCUGUCACAGGCCAGCAAUAAGGGUGAUCCAACUCCUGUUCCUCUACCCAUGGAGUUUCAACAGUUUUCUCCUAUUCUUAGGCUGCGAUGUGACCCUGACAGGCACUGAAUGCUUUCUAUUCCUCCCCACGAGCUAGGACUGUGCUCCUGAGCACAUUUUACUCCAUCCCAGCCUGUCUCGGCGCUGCGGUACUUCCUGCUGUUCUCUUCUAGGUCACGCACACUCCCGCCCCAUCCUGCCCUUCCCCCAUCGCCAACCCUCUCGUGUUCCGGAUCCCACCGGCCAGAAAAGGAGGCGUGCGGGGCGAAGCUGUGACCCGAGAAACCGAAGGAAGCUUAAAAGUUCCGAAGGAAAAGCCGCUUCUUCGGUGCCAGGCUGAGGGUCCUCCGGUGCCGUGCGAGCACCGAGCCCCGGCGCUCCGAGGAUAGGGGGGGCGGAUCUGAGACAGCUCCGAAGGCCGCUUCUAGGAAGACUCAGGACUCCGGGGAGACCUGACACCCCAUCCUCUCUGGAUGCUCCAGCACAGAGAGAGCUCCAAAGACUCAUUCUGCAUAUCUGAAGGGCAGCCUCCUGUUUGAUUCCACAAUGCACACUGGAAGGUGAAUUGGAAGAAGACCCUUCACGGAGCAGAAGAUCAUACAUUUAAAAAAAAAAAAGAAGCACAUGUGACAGAAAGAAAAGAAAAAAGCACAGGAGAGCAGAUGAGUGUACAGGUUAUCUCCCAGGCUGUAUGCAAGAUCUGCAUUACUGGCAAGUAUGGAGAGGAAACAGGAACGCAGAAGUCACUGCACUGGCAUGUUCACAGAAUUCUGAACCAGACACUUUCUUCCAGAAAUAAAGAUUAGUUGCUUACUCAGCCAAGAAGUGCAAAACAAGCCAAUCAAAUCAGAAAAAAUAUCUUAGAAGACAGAAAAACGCAUGUUCAAUGCUCUGCGUAGCAAUCCUGUUGUUCAGGGUCUGAAUCUCUUCACAGCAAGGCAGGUCCUGGGAACAGUUCCUCUUGUUCCUCUCUUUGGUAGGUAUAAGCCUGGAAAACAAGCAUCUCCUUUAAGAGAACUGCGGGCAUCUGACAGAAGUGCAGGGGACUAAUAGUCUCCUCUGAAGACAGGUGGAAGACUUGUGUGUUAUGCAGUCUUAUCUCUCAGUAUUUUUCUACAGAAUACAGUUUUAAAGACUUGUCUACACUUUGGCUUGCUUCUCCUUUUGAGAAUUUUCCUUUUCCCAAGGCAAAGUACAGAUUUGUCAUUGUAGCUGUGACUAUUCCUGCAAAUGGUGGACCCAAUCUGAUAAUUGGACUUUUCUGGCAAAAAUAUAUUACAUGCUCCUUAGAAAUUUCUGCUUGUGGACUCUCCAAACAUGAAGUAAAAUACAGUAAAAUGCUGUAUCUAUGCUGCCAAUCUUUUCUGAAGCUUAAGAUAACUCAAUGGAAAUCUUAAAAUGUUACCUAGUAUUUUAACGUGUUUUCUUACUUUGGUAUCUAGUUGUCCUUGAACUAGUUUUUAUUAAUUUAUGUAUAUACCAAACUUACCCUCUCACAUAAGUCAAGCAAGUGGAAUUAUUCAUAUAGCUACAUAAAAAUUAGUAAUUUGUUCAUUGGCAGCUCCUUUAGUGUCUUGUAAGGAUGAUUCUUUCAAGGAGAGAAAUGGAAUUUUUUAAAAUAUAUUUUAUGUUUUAUUUUAUUAUAUUUUCCCCAUGGGAAACAUAAUCUGCUUUAUGUCUUUGCAAACAUGAGUAGCUAAAGCUACUUUAGAGUCAUUAUAUCUGACUCUAUUUCAUGCUCCAUUUGAAAUAACUGAGUGCAAAUUUCAAAGUGGGUGGCAAAUUUACAAUAUGAAGCAAAAGGAAAUUUUAACAAUUAGCCUUCCUGGUGCAGCUUUGUCUUUGUUCUUAUUUUUUAACUACUUCUCCUCCAGCACAAGCAUGGCUCACUCGGUCAGCAGUGUCACCCAUGUGCUGCGUGCCCGGUUCUUGUUCCCACUGUUCCAGUGAUGGCCAGUUUCCCUUCUGCUCCACUCUGCCCACCACAGAGAUGUGGAACCCAUGGCAGGCAGCAUCCUCAGGGGGGCUCCUGGAGGCAGUUGUGGGCAUGAGAAUGGUACAGCACAGGCAGGAAUAGGCACUGGUGUACGCAGUCAGCUUUACUCUGUUCCAUGGAUGUCGGUGGUUAGGUCAUUCUAAUCACAAAGCUCUUCUGUUUUGAUUGUUUUUGUUGUUGGUUUUGUUUUGGUUUUUUACCUUUUUUACCUUUUUUUUUUUUAAUUGUCAGCUUUUUAAUAUGAUUUCCUCUUAAACACUAAAAAGAAGAGCUCUUCACAGGAAAUAUGGGAAGUAGUUAGGGAAAAUCUGCAUGCAUUUUUGCAACUUUGCCUUCUUCUUUGCUCGAGUAUUUUCCAUCUAUCAGUGCAGACACUGGGAACUAAGGUCUCUACCCUGCUACAGUGUUACUUGCAUGAGCCCUUUUAGAACAGUUUGCUUUGGAAAAGUGGAUUACGAAUUCAUGCUGUCUGCAUGUAUCCAUUUUCUUAGUCCCUCUCUGAUAACAUAUCUGUCAGCUUCAGUCAUGCUAGAUGGAAGGGCAAAAAUCCCAAUGACUUUGAUGUCUUAUAAAUUUUUUAAAACAUAGUACCUAGGAACACAGACCACCGGUACUGUGUGUGAGGGAAGGCAGAGAGAAGGCAGAUAUUCCCUCUACUGGCCAGCUCCCCAGAAACUCAGAAAUAUGAGUAGUCUGGUCAGUUGGCACCCUAACUCCUGUUUCAAGUCAUCCACAGAACACACUGUCUCUUGAUCCCACAUCCAUUCAAUCGAAAAAAAAAGCUCAGGGUCAAUCACAUGCUGGCAGUCAAUUCCCCUUUAACCUGUAGCUCUAAGGCACAUCAGAAAUCCCACAAUUUAAUUUAUGUCCAUAAUAACACAGGAAAAUACAUACAGUACAUACUGGGGCCAAGUGCUAAGCUAAAACUAAUUUGUAUGAAAUUGUCAAGAGGUUUUUUUGUAGUGUCAGUGUGAAAAGAAACCCCAUUUUAUUAUAUUUGCCAUGAGUUGCUGACAUUAAAUGUCUCAAAAAAAAACAAUAAUUGGUGGAAUCUGCUCAGUUAUCAAGAUGAAAAACAUCUGGUACAGGUGUUCAGUUUUAAUUAAGUGAUAGGUUGUUCUGAUAGGAAGCUGCUUUCCUCUUUGCUGAGGUAUUUUCCAUCUAUAAGUGCAGACACUGGAAACUAAGGCCUCUAGCCUGAUGCAGGGUUACUGCUUCAGAAAUGAGAAAAGCUUCUCAAAUCUGCUGCUGCAUUCCCUCUGCAGAGCAUGCUGAAGGUUUGGCUCGUAUUUAAAACCAGGAGCAAAAGCAGGUCUCCAAAUAAUGAAUACUUUUGUACAGCAAAGUACCUAUCUCCACCAAAUCCUCCUGAAAAAGGCUUCUAAUAAUCUAAUUUACAGGCAUGGCAGCUAAGUGAGCAAGAAAUAUAAGUGAAAAAAUGCCACUUAUAAAACUGCUCUCUCCUGAUCAAUCUGGGAAAAGAGCAACUUUCAGACAACAGCACAUCUGGUAUGACAAUACGGUUUAUAAAAUCAUUUUUCAGACAAAGCAACAAUAGCAAAAUAUGAACAAGCUUUUGGUCUAGUCAUCAGCCCUACAUUUGCCUGACCUAAACACUUAGUAAUCAAGAAAAGUUAAUCCCUACUUUGCCCUGUUUUGCCCGUGCUAGCCAGAUAUUAAAUCACUCAUUUAAGAGAAGUAAAAUGUAAACUUUAUCAUUGCCUCCUGGUCUCCAUGCUCUUAAGAGUCCCUCAUUUGGUUUCCACAUUCUUUCCAGACGAUUGGAAUUCCACUCCUGCAUUUUCAAGAGGUCUUUUUAUUGAAAAUUUUGACAUUCACAUACAGACAUUCAGUGUCAUGAGAACUAGAUCUCAUUGCAGAAAGAUCUGCACUGCAAGAGGGCAUGAAAACCCCACUCACUGUUUGCAGCAGCCUCUGCAGUGUCCAAUUUGUCUUCCCUUGUGGGCUUUCAUACCCAGACCAUGCUUAGCAUAAAACAUGGCAACAUAUUGUUACCCUUCCCACAUCUGGAAAUUACUCUGUAUUCAGGUAUUUUGCCUCUUGCUUCUGUUUAAUCUGAGUCAGCAGGUGAAUUAUGUUUGUUAAAUUCAUAUCCAGCAAGAAUGACCUGUUAGUCUAAGAUUCUUUUAAGCAUCCUCUUGAACACAAUUUGCAUUGAGGGCAAGAUGAUAAGAUCUUUUUCUUGAAAGAACAUUAAAGAACAUAAUAAAUUACAUCAGCCAUGUUUGGGUUAUUUCUGCAAUAAUCUGUAAAAUUGCUCUUUAAAAUAACUUCAGAGUAGGAAUGUAUUUGUUCACAUUAACGAUAUCCUAAAAGGCAUGAAAAGUGACCUGAGACUCAUGUCAGUUCCUUCCAUGCCAAAAUGAAUGUUCUGCCUCUGAUGUGCAUCCUGUUUUUCCUGCUCUCAGUUUGCUGUGGGUGAGUAUGGCAGGAUGUUUGGAGUGCAGAAAUGUUAUUAUAAAGGCAAGUCAGGGCUGCCAAAGCCUGUGGUGUUUGGGAGGGUUUCUUAUGCUUGUUACACUGUCUGCACUUGUGCCUCCUGUCAUUGUUCCUGCCUGGACAGUGCAGCUCUGGGCCUUGCAUUAUACUGCCUUUGGGCCUCUGGACUUUCAUUUUCCCUGCGUAGCCAACAUACCCUGUGUACUGACCAUCGCUGUUUCACUGUGACUAGUAGAAGGCUUCACUGGUACAAUGGGUUUCCUCCCAUGCGCAGUCACAGCAAGCAGUGAGUUCUUCAGCACCAAGCACAGUUUCUCUUCUUCCAUAACAAUGUAAAGCCACUUUCAUCACAAGCACAGGCCUCCAGAGAAGCAGCCAGCGUGACUUGAAAUACACUUCUACCCCCACCCCUGGGCUUCUGAGCUUUGGUGUCUCCUUGAUCCCCCAUGUGUGCCAGGGAACACGUAGGGCUUCCGCUUUGGUGCACAGCAGAACUUCACCCCAUGCUAAGGUGAGCGCCCCACCAUUUUCACACUCCUGGGGUAGGGCCACAGAAAGGAAAGAGCCAAACUCUUCUCAGAGGUGAAUAGACAGCACCAAGGCACUCAAUACAGACCAAAGGAACCCCUUCUUCCCCACAAGGACGCUUGACCCAGGAAGAGAGACACAAAGAAGCCUUGGGAUCGCCAGUCCUGUAGUCGCUUGUCCAGCUCUACUGGACAAGACCUGAAGCAGCUUGAUUCAGCUGGCGCUCCUUCAAGCUUCAAAGGUGGUGAUGGGGCAACUGGUGGAUCACAGACCUCCAGAGGUCUCUUGUGAAGAAAAUUAUUCCACAAUUCUACCUCACAGCUUCUAGGCAUUGCUUCAGCUCUGCUUGUUUUCCUGAAAUAUCUUCUGCAACAGGUUAGCAUUCCAGAAGUAACGGGUAGUACUCACAUCGCUGGCUGAAUGCUCACCUUGGAGGACAAAUAUAGGCAAGAAGAGAUAAUUUGUUGUGGGGUUUCUUUGUCAUGAAGCUGUAGUACUGGCAAUGACUGCCAUAGCUUAAGGUCACCAAAUAUAUUUCUACUGUCUGUUCUUCAUCAAACCAUCAUCCACAAAUUUAUCCUGAAUUCAGAAAUUAAUUGUGAUUUUAAAAAGAGAUUUUUAAUGUGUUAUGUUACAGCUAGGUGGGAUUUGUCCAGGUAUAAAAUUUUAAGAAAGCCUUACAGAAAGAAAGGGAGUUUGGGCCUUCUAUAACUAAACUUAAAAGAUACUGUGGUUACUGAAGAGGGGCUGGAAAAGCUGAUGGCAGAAACUGCAGCAGCAGCACCAGGUAGAAGUAGGUAGAAGGGCUAAGGGUCUACUCCAGAGUGAAAAGUAGCAGAAGAUGAUGUUUAUGAAGGUGUUACUUGAGCAGAAGCAGCUUAGCAAGGAAAGGGACACAGCUGAAAACUAACAUGGAUAUACACUUUCAGUUUGUCAAAAAGGGGGAAUACUAUCAGCUUGGCUUGCUCAAAAUAUGAAGAUUCUUCAGAAGAAAGCAGCACAGAUCUCAGGGAUGGGUUUCCCUUUACAAACAGCUCUCCUAAGGAAUACUGUGUGGCUUAUAUCUAGAUACAAAUUUUGGAAUUAUUUUGCAUUCACUGGAUAUGGGCCUUGUGUUCCAUGAUUUGCCUUGGCCUCCUUAGUAACAAAAACUUAAUGUCCGUGCUGAAAUAAAUAAGCUGUGAAGUUUUCCUAAUGAGAAGCUGAAAAUACAGCCUUUGUAUUCCUCUGGUAUCCACCUUCACAAAUGUGCCCAUUGUUUCUGCUUAUUUUCUGCCUGUUGAACUAGAAAUACUGAAAAACAGUAUUGUAGUCGCAAAGCUGUACUUGGGAAUCCAAGAGCCUUCAUACUGCAGCUCCAAAUUUUUACACGGCUGCAACAGUCUUUCUGUAUAUACUUUUGUUUUGUUAUCCAUUUGAAACUUCUUCUUGCUCCUUUUAAAGUGUAAACCCCUAAAGACCUGGCUGCUUCAGGAGCCAGGACUCUACCAUAAAUAUCUCUCAUUGAUGUCUAAAUAUGAUGCUGCACUGGUCACCAAAGAAAUCCCCUGUUGCUGUGUGUCUUUCAUGCAUUUCUGAUUGUUCAAAAACAUUUCUCAAUUUUCAUUUUUAAAUCUGAACUGCAGGAAGCUAACUCACAAAUGCCCUGGCAUGAUCACUGUCAUUGCUUCAUAGGAGCCCUGCAUCUUGGUCUAUCCUGUGUUUGUUGUUUGCUUCUUGAUACUCAGGCUGACUUGGUAGAAGGGAAGAGAGAAAGCUGGACAGCACCUUCCCUGCUUUCAACGUCUUUCCCAGUCAGUGCUGAAAAAGCUGUGGAAGUCUUAUGCCACUGAAAUAAUUUUGCAGCCUGCAUAUCCUACCCCAUGUGCUUGGAAAUGUUGCACAGAUGUAGCAAUGCUGUCAGUGGGGAAUACAUACUGUAGGAGAGCUGCUAUGUAUAAAAAUCCUGUCAGUGUUUAAACCCAUACACUGAAGGCUCAUGAGGUAAGUUGGAGGAAGAAAACAUGGGGAAGAGAUGUGACACUCCAGCUCUGGGCUGGGUCCUAUCCCAGACAGAGAACAGCUUGAGAAGCUGUCUUCUGACUCUGGACAGAGGAGUACCUCUGGAAACCCACAGUACAAAUGGAUUUCUUAGCACCUCUAGGAAGGCUGAAAAAUAGAUUUUUAAUGAGGGAAGACAGUCAGGAAAAGAGCUCAAACUAUGUGUGUUUUCUGCUUGCAGAGUGUGAGUUACAGCCCAGGGACACAAAAGGAUCAGAUAAGGUGAAAUGGAAGUAGCUUCUAUCUUUCCUUCUUUUCCCUACUGUUCCCUGCUAAGCUGUUUUUUCACAUCUCCUCUUUUCAGGGCAAAAUAACUCCUGCAUGUUGCACAACUUCAAGUUAAUACAUGCUACCAAACCAAGAUGUACCAAAUAUCUUAGCAGGAGAAUUUCUCCUCAAAGGAACACCAUGCACUGUUUUGUAUGCAGUGGAGUUUUGUGUCCAUCUGGUGUUAGAUAUGAGACUAACCAUAGAAUCAUAGAAUGCUUUGGGUUGAAAGGGGCCUUCAAGAUCAUUUAGUUACAACUGCCCUGCCAUGGGCAGGGACACCUCCCACUAGACCAGGCUGCUCAAGGUCCCAUCCAACCUGGCCUUGAACACAUCCAGAGAGGGGGAAUUUACACCUUCCAUGGACAACCUGUGCCAGUGCCUCACCAGCCUCAGGGAGAAGAAUUUCUUCAGUCCAAUCUCCCUUCCAAUUUAAAGCCAUUCCCUCUUGUCCUAUCACUACAUGCCCUUGUAAAAAGUCCCUCCCCAGCUUUUUUGUAGGCCCCCUUCAGGUACUGGAAGGCUGCUAUAAGGUCUUCCCGGAGCCUGCUCUUCUUCAGGCUGAACAAACCCAACUCUCUCAGCCUGUCUUCAUAGCAGAGGUGCUCCAGCCCUCUAGCCAUCUUCGUGGCUCUCCUCUGGACCCGUUCCAACAGUUCCAGAUCCUUCUGAUGUUGGAGAUUCCAGAACUGGACACAAUACUCCAGAUGAUGUCUCAUAAGAGCAGAAUAGAGGGGGGGAAUCACCUCCCUCGAGCUGUUGGCCACACUUUAUUUGAUGUAGCCCAGGAUACAGUUGACUUUCAGGGCUGCAAGCACACAUUGCUGGCUCACGUUCAGCUUCUCAUCAAUGCCCAAGUUCUUCUCUGCAGGACUGCUCUCAAUGACAUCAUCUCUCAGCCUCUAUUGAAACUGCAGAUUGUCCUGACCCAGGAGGAGGAAUUACUUUUGAUGACAUUUUCUCAAAGAUAAUAUUUUUCUGAAAGAAAAAGGAGGAAUACUGCACAGUAGCAGAUGACGGGAAGGUGGAGGAACCAGGUAAAGACUAUGACUAGGUUCUGUGAUAAUAAGGAGCAGGACAGUCCAAACACUUCCAUUGUUAGUAUCUACAAGAGAUUUGCCUUGACUUGAGAUGUAUAAGACUGCCUUUGGACAAUUGUCCCAUAAAAGUAGUGGGUUCAAGACAUUAAUAUCCCAUUCCAAAGAAACAGCUACUUUGGGGACUUACACUCUACUACUGAACAUUGCUCUUUGUCUCCGGGCUACAUCUCUUCCUCCUACUUGGGUGAAGUGGUAAAGACAAAAUAUUCCAAGUAAACACUGUAAAAUCAAGGAACUCUGCUUCUCCUGUGAGGUAGGAUCGUGAAGAUCAACUGGAAAGAAAUUGACUUAGAAUAAACUGAUGUGUCCUGUCACCACUGGAGAAGGUGGAGCUAUUUUUAACUGGGUCACAAUAGUUAACUGGCUGUUAAAUUAUAAAAAAUGCUUCCUAGGUGUGGGUAGAGGUCUUGGUAAGUCCAGGUUACUAUCAGGCUGGUUUAAGAUAUCCUGUUUCCCCUCAACAUAUAAACAUAUGAAUCCUUUCUAGUUCUGAGCGCUUCUCCCUAAAGCUGAGUGUCUCACAGGCUCCUGGGGAGCUUCAUGAUAAUUAGGUGGUGAUGUAAGUAGUUUCUGCUUUGAGAAAGGCUAUGAGAAUCACCUUUGUGAUGCAGACCCAGCUAUUGCAUGGGAUGGCUCAGGCUGUAACCUCUGUGUCACUUAGCACAGAAGGUCUCACGUGGAAUCCCUGUACACCUUUGGACACACUGCACCCCAUCUAGAACUACUCCAUUUCAGAACACAGUUUCUCAUGCCUACAGGUGCAGCUUAUUCUUGCCACACUCAAGUCUUGUCAUCUGAUGCAGCUUAUCAUAACAGAGGUCUUUCCAUCAUGGACUGUGAGUAUCUCUUCAGAGUAAGGCACUUGUUUCUUGUGCUUGGUGCAGUAGGUAGUGCCAGUCUCACAAGUAGGUAUGAUUACAAGUUGAACAUAUGAAUUUCUGAGGUUUUGAUGGUAGCAAAUGAGCCUCUUGAGCUUUAUUUCCUCUGUCUGUCUCUCUCUCUCUCAAUUCCUAGAUCAACAGCAUGCUUCACCUACAAGGCUGUAGGAACAUUUUGAAACAUUUGCCUUCUAGUAUAUCAACAGAAACUUCUCUGCCAUUGACAUUGAUUUGACAAGCUGUAGCAUAUCAUCAGGAUACCCACAUUUUUUUUUCUGUCAUAGGAAAGCUGAUCCUAAAUUUAUAAAUCCCAUGGUAGUCUUUCCUGACUACAUGUCUAACUCCAUGUGGAUGAGUUACCAGGUGUGUAUAUUUACCAGGGACAAUACUCUCUGACAGUAUACUUGGGCAUUUUCCAGAUAGAAUCGUAGAAUCAUAGAAUCAUAGAAUGGCCUGAGUUGGAAGGGACCUUAAAGAUCAUCUAAUUCCAACCCCUCUGAUGUGGGCAGGGGCACCUCCCACUAGAUCAGGCCGACCAAGGCCCCAUCCAGCCUGGCCUUGAACACUUCCAGGGAUGGGACAUCCACAACUUCCCUAGGCAACCUGUUCCAGGGCCACACCAUUCUCAUUGUGAAGAAUGUCCUCCUUAUGUCUAGAAUAAAUCUGCCUCUCUCCAAUUUUUAGCCAUUCCCUCAAAUCCUAUCACUACAUGCCUUUACCAAAUCCCUCCACAACUUUCUUGUAGGCCCCCUUCGUGUACAGCAAGAUCAUUAUAAGGUCUCCUCAUCACAAGAAGGAUGUUGAGUCUCUGAAGCAUGUCCAGAGAAGAGCAAUGAAGGUGGUAAGGGGGCUGGAGAACAAGUCUUAUGAGGAGCGGCUGGGAGAGCUGGGGUCGUUUAGCCUGGAGAAGAGGAGGCUGAAGGGAGACCUUAUUGCUCUCUACAACUACCUGAAAGGAGGUUGUGGAGAUGAGGGAGCUGGCCUCUUCUCCCAAGUGACAGGGGACAGGACAAGGGGGAAUGGCCGCAAGCUCUGCCAGGGGAGGUUCAGGCUUGACAUCAGGAAAAAAUUUUUCACAGAAAGGGCCAUUGGGCACUGGAACAGGCUGCCCAGGGAGGUGGUUGAGUCACCUUCCCUGGAGGUGUUUAAGAAAUGGGUGGACAAGGUGCUGAGGGGCAUGGUUUAGGGAGUGCUAGGAACGGUUGGAUUCGAUGACCCAGUGGGUCCCUUCCAACCUAGUGAUUCUAUGAUUCUAUGAUUCUCCUCAGAGCCCUCUCUUCUCCAGGCUGAACAACCCUAACUGUCUCAGUCUGUCCUCAUGUGGAAGAUGCUCCAGCCCUCUGAUCAUUUUUGUAACCCGUCUCUGGACCCAUUCCAACAGCUCCAUAUCCAACAGACCCAUCCCCAGAUGCUGGGGAUUCCAGAACUGGACACAAUACUUCAGGUGGGGUCUCACAAGAGAGGAAUAGAGGGGCAGAAUCACCUCCCUCGACCUGCUGGCCAUGCUUCUUUUGAUGCAGCCCUGGACAUGGUUGGCCACCUGAGCUGCAAGCACAUAUUGCUGGCUCAUGUCAAGCUUCCAAUCAAUCAGCAUCCCUAAGUAUUUCUCCACAGGGCUGUUCUCAAUCACAUCAUUUCCCCAUCCCCAACCACGGAUUGCCCCGACCCAGGUGCAGGACCUGGCACUUGGCCUUCUUGAACCUCAUGAGGUUGUCACAGGCCACUUCUCCAGCUUGUCCAGGUCCCUCUGGAUGACAUUCCAUCCUUACGGUGAGGCAACUGCACCACUCAGCUUCGUGUCAUCUGCAAACUUGCUGAGGGUGCACUCAAUCUCGUUGUCUAUAUCAUCAAUGAAAAUAUUAAACAGCACUGGCCCCAGUAUGGACCCCUGAGGGACACCACCCAUCACAGACCUCCAUCUGGACACUGAGCCAUUGACCACUACUCUCUGAAUGUGACCAUCCAACCAGUCCCUUAUCCACUGAACAGUGCACCCAUCAACUCCAUAUCUCUCCAAUUUAGAGAGAGUGGUGUUGCGGGGUACUGUGUCAAAGGCUUUACAGAAGUCCAGGCAGAUCACAUCCAUCGCUUUUCCCAUGUCCACUGCUGUGGUUACCCCAUCAUAGAAAGCCACUAGGUGAGUCAUACAGGAUUUGCCUUUGAUGAAGCCACAGUGGCUGCCUCUAAUCACCUCCCUGUCCUCCAUGUGCUUUAGCAUGUCUUCUAGGAGGAUCUGUUCCAUGAUCUUCCCAGGCACAGUGGUGAGGCUGACAGGUCGGUAGUUCUCAGGAUCAUCUUUUUUACCUUUUUUUAAAAUGGGGACAAUGUUACCCUUCUAGUCGCUUAAAAAGACAAUUUAUAAAUCCCUUGUAAUACGGUUGUGCAAGGGGGACCUUGAAGACAUGUGGAAAGCUUAAGGAGGGAAAGUCCAAGAUGGCUCAGGAAAAGCCUAAAAGGAGUCUAUCAAAUGCUGCAGGAAUCCACAGCCAUGCUGGAGAUCACAGCAUGGGCUACAGUAUUUUCCCAUGGAAGGAAGGAUGGGUGACUUCAGCUUAUAAGACAAUAGGUGACAUAAAUCUCUAGUUAUUGUAGAGAAUAUUAAUUGACACUUGGGAAUAAAGCUCUUGUAUUGGUGAGACUACUACAGUAAGCAGCAAAAAUGCUUUGUGCUGAUGGAGCCAUAGUAACAAAAGAAAACCAGCUAUUUUGAUUUUAAAGUUGUGUUUUAAAAGACACUACUAAGAAACCUAGAACAAGGGAAAUUCCAGUGAGACUUUAUCACAGUAAAUGUGCAGCUAAAAUUAGAUUCUUGCAAAAGCAAACUAGGAUGCGAGAACCAAACAUAGCUACUGCAUGUAGGAAGAGACAGAACACUUGACUGGAAGCUGUCAGAGAUGAUCUCUAUUGGCUAACAGGUUUGAAUUGUUCACUUGAACUACUUUAAUUCCAGAAGGGAGGGCUCUUGUCACCCUACAAAAUAUAGUUCCAUAUGAUUGCUGAGCUGUUCCUGUCUUGUAAAUCUACAUAGAAGCAACUGCUGAUGAUAUUGAGAUCACUUACAAUCAUGUCCUGGUGAAGGUGCUUUUGAAACAGCACAGUUUCCUGGAGGAGACGCUGGAAGCUAGACUCCAAGAAGCAAAAAAUAGCCCACGCCUCCCUGCAAGGACCAGAACCAGAACUGAUUAUAUAUAGAAAACUACUUGGAGUAGCAGGUGGACCACGAAUUAAACACUGACCUAUAACCAGUAUUGUGAUUUGCAAAACAUAUGGAGGGUUGAAGGCGUGUAUGGGACAACACUGCAGUAGAUAAAUGUGAGCAUGGUUAACACAUACAACUGCAUCCACUUGGUUAACAUGGUUUCUAAGCCUGUCAAGUUUAUGUACUACUCUCACAGCAACCUGUUGGAAAAAGAAGUUAGGAACUUGGAGAAAUGUGAGUCAAGCAUGUCUUCUGCAAAGUUUGUCUCAGCUCAUCACAAUGAAUAUGUAGCAUGUGGUAUCAUUAUAUUUGGCACCUCAGUUUAAUCUCAAAGCUGUAACUCAGUUUAAAAGUCCUCAAGGGAAAGGACAACCUGUACUGCAUUCUAAUAGCCUGGAGCCUACCUGCUUAAAAACGCCCAAAUUUAAUCUUGCAACUUAGUAGCAGCACAUGCUGGUAAUUCAAGAAGAAAUUUUUUGAGCUUCUUUUCCACCUCCAUCACCUCCUCCUAUAGCCUUGCUCCACUUCCCAAUACUUACUUCUGAUUUUCCAUCUCUACUUUUGAUUUUGUAUACAUUGCCUGGGAGUGUAUCUGUGACUGAAUUGCUGGAAUUUAAGUGGUGAUGGUAGUGGUUUCUACACACGUAGGCAGUCAAGAAUCUCAUCAGUGUUCUAUGUAUACGUAGUCUGUCUGGUAUGUUAGCAGCCAAAUGAUAACUGACGGUCAGAUGGAGAGCUCAGAAGGGUUAGAAUGACUGAGGGUAUAGAUGAGUGUCUCUCUCAUAUUUAAAUCUCCCUGGUGUGGUAUGCUUCAAGCAUUAAAUAAAAAAAAGCUGCAGUUCAGAAUAGUGAUCAAAUAGGCUGAGACAGCAUACCUUGUCAAUUCUACAGCAGGGACAUCAGGGAGAAAAAGAUCAACUCCCCAAACCUCAAACAUGAAAGAUUGUUGAAAGAAAUAGAAGUAUCUUACUGCUCUACACACGAAGGAGGUUGCGUAACAUUGAUGGAGUUAAAAAUUGUUAUGGAUUACACUUAAACUAAAGUAAAUAAAUAACAAAACAUUGAUUAAUACUUCAAAAUGUGUCUGAAUAUGUGCAGCAACAAACCUGGAAGCUGUCUCUUACAGCUCCCAGGAUUUGUAUGACAGACUGAAGUUUCUUAUUUGUCAUAGAGUUCAGGGGAAGAGCGUGGGUUCAAAGUCAGGUUUGCAUCAACAAACUGCAUCUCUGAGUUUGUAUAUAUUAGAGCAAAGCACCCGGACUGUGAAAGCAGAUCUUGUUAAAGGCACUUUCCUGAAGGAGGGCAAGGUGUCUAUCUGUCUUGGAAAGAAAUGGCCGGUCUUUUGAAGGGGAAGAAAGAUCUGCUUGGGCAGAUAACAAGGAAAGAUGUGGCAAACAAAGACAGAAGUCUACCAACCCAAAAGCUAGGAUGUAAAAUGAGGGGUAACGUUGUUACUUAGUAAAGAAAAGAAUGACUGGAGGUUACUUCAGGUAUGUCACAAGUAUUUGCAAAGACAAAGGGUAUGAACUGCUGUGUCUGCUAAAAUCAUAGCAGGAAGAGUAUGGUUAGAAAUCGGGAAAUACUUCAUAACAAUCAGACCAACAAAGCAAGACUAGAUUGUCAAACGUAUUCCAAAGCCUCAGAGGACAGACACUGUAUAUCUUCACAAUUCACCUGUCAGAAGCUUACACAGUACAGAUAUGAUUGAUGGUAUCCCUUGAUAGAUCAAAUGAUCCUUCACAGUCCUACCUCAUCCUCAGGAAAUAGUAGGGGAAAACAGGGGGAAAAAAGCUUCUAAGGCCAGCAUUGCCAGCAAAGCACACGAAGAGGACUUAAUGGUA
Long non-coding RNA from Cuculus canorus (common cuckoo), 17619 nucleotides. RefSeq lists it as uncharacterized. The transcript is spliced from 4 exons. The record is from RefSeq and is a predicted model, not a curated record. NCBI's taxonomy places the organism in Eukaryota, Metazoa, Chordata, Aves, Cuculiformes, Cuculidae.